UACGAAGGGGGCUAGCGUUGCUCGGAAUCACUGGGCGUAAAGCGCACGUAGGCGGCUUUCUAAGUCGGUGGUGAAAUCCUGGAGCUCAACUCCAGAACUGCCUUCGAUACUGGAAGACUUGAGUCCGGGAGAGGUGAGUGGAACUGCGAGUGUAGAGGUGAAAUUCGUAGAUAUUCGCAAGAACACCAGUGGCGAAGGCGGCUCACUGGCCCGGUACUGACGCUGAGGUGCGAAAGCGUGGGGAGCAAACAGG
This 253-nucleotide ribosomal RNA is filed under the name uncultured bacterium. RNAcentral's name for it is "partial 16S ribosomal RNA". It matches the Rfam family "Bacterial small subunit ribosomal RNA", at positions 524 to 776 of the family's 1533-position model. The record is from RNAcentral.